RNAcentral lists this ribosomal RNA (580 nucleotides) under uncultured bacterium. RNAcentral's name for it is "bacterial SSU rRNA". It matches the Rfam family "Bacterial small subunit ribosomal RNA", at positions 317 to 916 of the family's 1533-position model. The record is from RNAcentral.
AACGAAGUCUGCAGUCGACGAUUCUACGGGAGGCAGCAGUGGGGAAUCUUGCACAAUGGAGGAAACUCUGAUGCGGCGAUGCCGCGUGAGUGAAGAAGGCCCUUGGGUUGUAAAGCUCUUUCGUCGGGGAAGAAAAUGACUGUACCCGAAUAAGAAGGUCCGGCUAACUUCGUGCCAGCAGCCGCGGUAAUACGAAGGGACCUAGCGUAGUUCGGAAUUACUGGGCUUAAAGAGUUCGUAGGUGGUUGAAAAAGUUAGUGGUGAAAUCCCAGAGCUUAACUCUGGAACUGCCAUUAAAACUUUUCAGCUAGAGUAUGAUAGAGGAAAGCAGAAUUUCUAGUGUAGAGGUGAAAUUCGUAGAUAUUAGAAAGAAUACCAAUUGCGAAGGCAGCUUUCUGGAUCAUUACUGACACUGAGGAACGAAAGCAUGGGUAGCGAAGAGGAUUAGAUACCCUCGUAGUCCAUGCCGUAAACGAUGUGUGUUAGACGUUGGAAAUUUAUUUUCAGUGUCGCAGGGAAACCGAUAAACACACCGCCUGGGGAGUACGACCGCAAGGUUAAAACUCAAAUGAAUUGACGG